This 439-nucleotide ribosomal RNA is filed under the name uncultured bacterium. Its description in RNAcentral is "partial 16S ribosomal RNA". It matches the Rfam family "Bacterial small subunit ribosomal RNA", at positions 339 to 795 of the family's 1533-position model. The record is from RNAcentral.
CUACGGGUUGCUCCAGUGAGGAAUAUUGCACAAUGGGGGGAACCCUGAUGCAGCAACGCCGCGUGGAGGAUGACGCAUUUCGGUGUGUAAACUCCUUUUAUAUGUCAAGAAAAUGACGGUAGCAUAUGAAUAAGCACCGGCUAACUCCGUGCCAGCAGCCGCGGUAAUACGGAGGGUGCAAGCGUUACUCGGAAUCACUGGGCGUAAAGGACGCGUAGGCGGGUUGGAAAGUCAGGUGUGAAAUCCUACAGCGUAACGGUAGAACUGCACUUGAAACUUCUAAUCGAGAGUAUGGGAGGGGGAGAUGGAAUUAGUGGUGUAGGGGUAAAAUCCGUAGAUAUCACUAGGAAUACCUAAAGCGAAGGCGAUCUCCUGGAACAUUACUGACGCUAAGGCGUGAAAGCGUGGGGAGCAAACAGGAUUAGAUACCCGCGUAGUC